Molecule: long non-coding RNA, 1019 nt
Organism: Dalotia coriaria
Lineage: Eukaryota; Metazoa; Arthropoda; Insecta; Coleoptera; Staphylinidae
Exons: 3
Source: RefSeq, a predicted model, not a curated record
CUCGAACGUCACCACCAGGCAACCGACAACCCGUGCCGUAAUCAACAUUAACCAUUCAUGCAACUACACACGGCAAGCGGGUGUUUUAUUUCUGUUGUGUGGAACAGAAGUGAAAGGAAUGUGUGGUUAGGGUUGCCUAUAGUGCUGCUAACGUGCAAAACCUCAAAAUAACUUUUAAAUCGUUAAAAACUUACAAAAAACUAAUAAAAUUAAGAAUUGGUGAGUAUGAAUGUGCUUUUUAAGGUUAUGUCGGUUGACAGCUGAUGAUUUCAAAUCAUCUUCGGUAUUUUCUUGGUUUAAAUACAUUAAUAGAUGGCGUAAGAGUGCAAAGAUAAAACACUUCCCUGGACGUAAACAUAAACACUGAUCUUGUAUCUUCUGUGUUGAAUGCAAAAUUCCUGUUUCUACUCAGAGCUGCGCCGUGUGGCAACAUAAUUAUACACAAAGCUCCAUUUGGCUGAUGUAGCGCGCAUUGACGGCUCCAGGUCGAAAGGGUGGAAGGCGACCUGGAACUUCUGCGUGGCGGCGCCGCUCUUCCGGUUACUGUCAUACAUCAAGCCGCUUAUUAAGUGCCACUGCGUGUGAGCCCAAUUAAUCUAAGCGACCCGCAUGCCUAAUUGCUGUCAUAAUAACAACCAACAAGCAAAGAUUAUGCAAAAUGUAUUAUUCUGAUUGAGUUUAAUAUUCUUAGUAUUUGUAUACUUAAUACACUUAGUAUAUAAAUGGUAUUCUAUUCCUUUGGUGAGUGAGUAUAAAACGUUCUCUAUUUUUGAAGUAGAAUUAGUUUUGUACGUUUAUGGAGUAGUAAACUAAGCAAUGCACUUAUCCAACCUACGUGACAUUGACGUGUCAACGCUGCGUCAAAGCCAUCAAAGUCAAGGUAUAUUUGAGGAAAAAAUCGUAAAGUCAUCAAUGUAAAGUUUGCGUUUGGUGCACGGAGGAAUGAAGUGGGUUGUAAAAGCAGAAGGAAAUUAGAAAUUGUAAAGAAUGUGCUAAAAAUAAAAUGCUUGUCCUAGGUU